CCCAUCCUCGAAGAGGCACACGCAGGCCACUUUGGGCGAGCGCGCAUAGAGGCCAAGAUCCGGCAGCGCUUUUAUUGGCAGAACAUCAGGGAGGAUGUGGACAACUGGAUUCAGACCUGCAUGCGGUGCCAACGCUUUGAGAGGGUGAAGACGGAGGCCCCGGAGAUGAGGCCCAUCAAGCCAGUUGCUCCCUGGCACAUGAUUGGU
Clupea harengus (Atlantic herring) is the source of this 207-nucleotide long non-coding RNA. RefSeq lists it as uncharacterized. The record is from RefSeq and is a predicted model, not a curated record. The transcript is spliced from 2 exons. NCBI's taxonomy places the organism in Eukaryota, Metazoa, Chordata, Actinopteri, Clupeiformes, Clupeidae.